UCUUGGUGGUAGUAGCAAAUACUCAAAUGAGAACUUUGAGGACUGAAGUGGGGAAAGGUUCCAUGUGAACAGCAGUUGGACAUGGGUUAGUCGAUCCUAAGGCAUAGGGAAGUUCCGUUUGAAAGGCGCCCUCGUGCGCCGUGUGCCGAAAGGGAAGCCGGUUAAUAUUCCGGCACCUGGAUGUGGAUUCUCCACGGCAACGUAACUGAACGCGGAGACAUCGGCGGGGGUCCUGGGAAGAGUUCUCUUUUCUUCUUGACGGCCUAUCACCCUGAAAUCGGUUUGUCCGGAGCUAGGGUUCCACGGCCGGCAGAGCCCUGCACCUUUGCAGGGUCCGGUGCGCCCCCGACGAUCCUUGAAAAUCCGCGGGAAGGAAUAGUUUUCACGCCAGGUCGUACUCAUAACCGCAGC
RNAcentral lists this non-coding RNA (411 nucleotides) under Malassezia pachydermatis. Its description in RNAcentral is "Eukaryotic large subunit ribosomal RNA". It matches the Rfam family "Eukaryotic large subunit ribosomal RNA", at positions 1449 to 1860 of the family's 3401-position model. The record is from Rfam by way of RNAcentral. Lineage: Eukaryota; Fungi; Basidiomycota; Malasseziomycetes; Malasseziales; Malasseziaceae.